CUUCUGCGGGUGCUGCCCCUUUAAAUCCGUUGAAGUGACGUCAGUUACCAUAGAAACGAAGCUACAAGGAACAACAGAAAGCGGCGAUGCUCCGUGUCUCUUAUGGUUUUCUUCACUUUUUCAGGAGUGACAAAAUAACCCCUCUAUAAUAGAAAAUAAGCUCAAGAUUUCUGCAUUUUCGAAUGGAGCUGCUGAAAGAGAUGUUGAAAACUCAGAUUUGUCCAUGCUGAUGGCCAAGCAGCAGAGUUCAAGCAAACCUGUCAGAAAACAUAUCUAAGGGGCUAUGUAUGAACCAUAUGGCUAGAUACCCAUACACGUUACAGAAGCUCCAGUAUGGAUCCAGCCUCACUAGUAAAGACUUCAGAUGACGCCUACACUCUCAGAGACUUCAGAUGAUGGCAACUAGAUGGACAUACAAAACUGCCAAACAUUAUAUAUAUAUAUAUAUAUAUAUAUAUAUAUAUAUAU
This is a non-coding RNA of Paramisgurnus dabryanus, 468 nucleotides long. Lineage: Eukaryota; Metazoa; Chordata; Actinopteri; Cypriniformes; Cobitidae. The record is from RefSeq and is a predicted model, not a curated record.